RNAcentral lists this ribosomal RNA (465 nucleotides) under Vreelandella stevensii. RNAcentral's name for it is "partial 16S ribosomal RNA". It matches the Rfam family "Bacterial small subunit ribosomal RNA", at positions 338 to 795 of the family's 1533-position model. Lineage: Bacteria; Pseudomonadati; Pseudomonadota; Gammaproteobacteria; Oceanospirillales; Halomonadaceae. The record is from RNAcentral.
CCUACGGGGGGCUGCAGUGGGGAAUAUUGGACAAUGGGGGCAACCCUGAUCCAGCCAUGCCGCGUGUGUGAAGAAGGCCCUCGGGUUGUAAAGCACUUUCAGUGAGGAAGAACGCCUGGUGGUUAAUACCCAUCAGGAAAGACAUCACUCACAGAAGAAGCACCGGCUAACUCCGUGUCAGCAGCCGCGGUAAUACGGAGGGUGCGAGCGUUAAUCGGAAUUACUGGGCGUAAAGCGCGCGUAGGUGGCUUGAUAAGCCGGUUGUGAAAGCCCCGGGCUCAACCUGGGAACGGCAUCCGGAACUGUCAAGCUAGAGUGCAGGAGAGGAAGGUAGAAUUCCCGGUGUAGCGGUGAAAUGCGUAGAGAUCGGGAGGAAUACCAGUGGCGAAGGCGGCCUUCUGGACUGACACUGACACUGAGGUGCGAAAGCGUGGGUAGCAAACAGGAUUAGAUACCCUGGUAGUC